Molecule: ribosomal RNA, 492 nt
Filed under: uncultured bacterium
Lineage: Bacteria
Description: partial 16S ribosomal RNA
Rfam family: Bacterial small subunit ribosomal RNA
Source: RNAcentral
AGUGAACGCUGGCGGUAGGCCUAACACAUGCAAGUCGAACGGCAGCACAGUAAGAGCUUGCUCUUACGGGUGGCGAGUGGCGGACGGGUGAGGAAUACAUCGGAAUCUACUUUUUCGUGGGGGAUAACGUCGGGAAACUUACGCUAAUACCGCAUACGACCUACGGGUGGAAGCAGGGGAUCUUCGGACCUUGCGCGAUUGAAUGAGCCGAUGUCGGAUUAGCUAGUUGGCGGGGUAAAGGCCCACCAAGGCGACGAUCCGUAGCUGGUCUGAGAGGAUGAUCAGCCACACUGGAACUGCGGCACGGUCCAGACUCCUACGGGAGGCAGCAGUGGGGAAUAUUGGACAAUGGGCGCAAGCCUGAUCCAGCCAUACCGCGUGGGUGAAGAAGGCCUUCGGGUUGUAAAGCCCUUUUGUUGGGAAAGAAAAGCAGCAGGUUAAUACCCCGCUGUUCUGACGGUACCCAAAGAAUAAGCACCGGCUAACUUCGUG